UGUUCUGUUUUGUUUUUCAUCCCUUUUGAUGUAAACUACAUUUUGCUCAACAUAAUAUUUUAUGCACUAGUUUAAUUUUUUUUGUUUGGUUACAAGAGAGAAAAUGCACUAGUUUAAUUUAGUCCAGAGCAAGCAGCAUUAUUAUAUUUUUUGGAAUUUUAAGAAUCAUUUUAGCUAAAAUAGAAAAUAAGCUACUUAAAAAAAUAUAUGAAUGAGCUUAUAGCUCAUAGUGUAUGAACUAGCCGAUGAAUAAAAUCAUAUGUAC
This 265-nucleotide long non-coding RNA is filed under the name Trifolium pratense (red clover). Its description in RNAcentral is "long non-coding RNA (TPRA_LNC007093)". The record is from RNAcentral. Lineage: Eukaryota; Viridiplantae; Streptophyta; Magnoliopsida; Fabales; Fabaceae.